UACAGAGGGUGCGAGCGUUAAUCGGAAUUACUGGGCGUAAAGCGCACGUAGGUGGCUUUGCAAGUCGGUUGUGAAAUCCCCGGGCUUAACCUGGGAACUGCAGUCGAGACUGCUUUGCUUGAGUAUGGGAGAGGGAGGUGGAAUUUCCGGUGUAGCGGUGAAAUGCGUAGAUAUCGGGAGGAACACCUGAGGCGAAGGCGGGCUACUGGGCUGAUACUGACGCUGAUGCGCGAAAGCCAGGGGAGCGAACGGG
Molecule: ribosomal RNA, 253 nt
Filed under: uncultured prokaryote
Description: partial 16S ribosomal RNA
Rfam family: Bacterial small subunit ribosomal RNA
Source: RNAcentral